This 253-nucleotide ribosomal RNA is filed under the name uncultured bacterium. RNAcentral describes it as "partial 16S ribosomal RNA". It matches the Rfam family "Bacterial small subunit ribosomal RNA", at positions 524 to 776 of the family's 1533-position model. The record is from RNAcentral.
UACGUAGGGUGCAAGCGUUAUUCGGAAUUACUGGGCGUAAAGCGUGCGCAGGCGGCUAUGCAAGUCAGAUGUGAAAUCCCCGGGCUUAACCUGGGAACCGCAUUUGUGACUGCAUGGCUAGAGUACGGCAGAGGGGGAUGGAAUUCCGCGUGUAGCAGUGAAAUGCGUAGAUAUGCGGAGGAACACCGAUGGCGAAGGCAAUCCCCUGGGCCUGUACUGACGCUCAUGCACGAAAGCGUGGGGAGCAAACAGG